CUAAGGUAGCAUAAUAGUUCGUCCCUUAAUUGGGGAAAAGUAUGAAUGGUCGGAUGGUGGAAGUCUUUAUUAGAGGUAUUAGCUGAAAUUUACUUUCGAUGUGCAAAGGCUUGAAUGUGUUUAUUAGACGAGAAGACCCUGUUGAGCUUGGUACGUCACGGUCGUUAAGGGCGUGGUUUAUGUUUGUUCGGGGCUGAGAGGAAGGGACGAUUAUUCCUUCUUGGUUUUUAAGGAUCCAGCAUUGGCUGACAAGAAGAAGAUAGUUACCACAGGGAUAACAGCGCAAUCUUCCUGGCAAGAUCUUAUUUGAGGCUAGGGUUUGC
Molecule: ribosomal RNA, 323 nt
Filed under: Soletellina virescens
Lineage: Eukaryota; Metazoa; Mollusca; Bivalvia; Cardiida; Psammobiidae
Description: partial 16S ribosomal RNA
Source: RNAcentral